AAAAAUAUCCAUUUUAUCGAUGGUUCUUAAGUUUUUACCGACCAAGUGAUCUAAUCGGAGACGAUGAAGCAGCUUCACCAGAAUGAGAGAUCGGAUUACGGUGACAAUGGGAAGGCUCGAGCUUCAAGAGUAAUGGAUUGAUUUGAAAACCAUAGAGAAAGAAGAGAGUGUAGAAAAAUGGGGAAAGAAGUUAGGAUGAGGGAUUACGGUGACGACGAUACACAUGAUAGGGUUUUCUGCUGGGAUUUGGAAAUCAACAUUUCACUAUGCUGGAUUGGUUUUGCAAAUCUGAGAUUGCAAAGGGGAAAGAAGAAGCUUGGAUAGAUGACCAACUGUUCAUUACAUGGAAGGACAACGUUAGUAAUUUCGGAGAUGCUUCUUAAACUUGUAAUAAGCUUCAACGCUACUUAUGAAGUCUUGCUCACAACCAACACUGCUUUUCAGAAGCCCAUCCCUCUAGCAAUCUGGAAAAAAUUGCAGAAAAUGGUGGAUUUUUUGUUUGAUAUUUGGCAUGGGGAUGGUCUGUGUGACUAGGUUACACCAAGAGGUGAUUCUUAGUAUUUCUGGUACAAAAUUUAGUUGCAAGCUCUAAUGAUCAAAAUUUCAAUAUCUUUUACAAGAGACUCUGGUUUUUUAUGAACAUAGGUGUUUUUGAGAAUCUCUUCCAUGUCAAUUCACCAAAAACAAAGCAAGGAUCGAUCAUGCUUUUGUUUAAUUAUCUUAUUAUGUAAGAGAUUUUGACUAUGCCAUUUGGUUGUUCACCACCAUGUGAUAUUUUGUAUUAAAGGUUUGGAUACUUUGCUAGGUAUGUUUUCACCGGUAAUCAUAUAAGAAG
Camelina sativa (false flax) is the source of this 835-nucleotide long non-coding RNA. RefSeq lists it as uncharacterized. The record is from RefSeq and is a predicted model, not a curated record. Lineage: Eukaryota; Viridiplantae; Streptophyta; Magnoliopsida; Brassicales; Brassicaceae.